AUUAGCUUAGUUAGGUAAAAAACACCACACGGUCCUUGGUUAACUCAUAACUUAGCUUAUCUUCCUCCUAAAUGACAUAAUAAGCUCAAAAUAAGAAAAGGUUUGUAAUCAUCGUCUUCUUCUAUUUCUUCUUAUUCUUCUUCUUCUCCUCCUCCUCCUCCCCCUCCCCAUCCUCCUUCUUCUUCUCCUUCUUCUUCUGCUUCUUCUUCUCCUUCUUCUUCUCCUCUUUUUUCUUCUCCUUAGCUUAUUUUCCCCAAGAAAGACAUACUUAGCUAAUUAUCCUCCAAAAUUAAAUAAUUAGCUAAUUUAAUUCAUUUAUGACAUAAUUAGAUAAUUUAGGUAAAAAACAACACAAGAACCUUGGUUAGCUCAUAACUUAGCGUACCUUCCUAUUAAAUGACAUAAUAAGAAAAGUAUUGUAAUCAUCCUCUUCCUCUUCUUAUCCUUCUUAUUCUUCUUCUUGUUCUUCUUCUCCUCCUCCUUCUUGUCCUUCUCCUCCUCCUCCUCCUUCUCCUUAUCUCCUUCUUCUUCUCCUUCUCCUCCUCCUCCUCCACCUCCUUCUUCUUCUUCCUCUUCUUCUUAUUUUUCUCCUUCUUCUUCCCCUCUUUCUUCUCCUCUUUCUUCUUCUCCUUAUAUUUUUUCCCCAAAAAAGACACACUUAGAUAAUUAUCCUCCAAAAUGACAUAAUAAGCUUAUUUAUUUCAUUUAUGACAUAAUUAGCGUUGUUAGGUAAAAAAACAUCACAAGAACCCUUGUUAUCUCAUAACUU
RNAcentral lists this long non-coding RNA (769 nucleotides) under Hordeum vulgare. RNAcentral's name for it is "long non-coding RNA (HVUL_LNC015715)". The record is from RNAcentral. Lineage: Eukaryota; Viridiplantae; Streptophyta; Magnoliopsida; Poales; Poaceae.